CCUGUCGGUGACGAAUCGCCACUCGAUGUGGCUGAUAGCUGUUGUGGAAGGCUGUGUCUGUCCUUUUGAGCAUUUUAUGAAAAAACCUGUAAUAAUAUGGCUUGUGUGGUGAAAUGUUUUAAUGGAUCAUCUAAGACAUUCCUGCUUUA
This is a long non-coding RNA of Thalassophryne amazonica, 149 nucleotides long. RefSeq lists it as uncharacterized. The transcript is spliced from 3 exons. The record is from RefSeq and is a predicted model, not a curated record. Lineage: Eukaryota; Metazoa; Chordata; Actinopteri; Batrachoidiformes; Batrachoididae.